RNAcentral lists this ribosomal RNA (258 nucleotides) under uncultured bacterium. RNAcentral's name for it is "partial 16S ribosomal RNA". It matches the Rfam family "Bacterial small subunit ribosomal RNA", at positions 793 to 1050 of the family's 1533-position model. The record is from RNAcentral.
GUCCACGCCGUAAACGAUGUCUACUAGUUGUCGGUUGUCUUGUACGACGGGUAACGCAGCUAACGCGAUAAGUAGACCGCCUGGGGAGUACGGCCGCAAGGUUAAAACUCAAAUGAAUUGACGGGGGCCCGCACAAGCGGUGGAGCAUGUGGUUUAAUUCGAAGCAACGCGAAGAACCUUACCUGGCCUUGACAUCCUGCGAACUUUCUAGAGAUAGAUGGGUGCCUUCGGGAACGCAGAGACAGGUGCUGCAUGGCU